Molecule: ribosomal RNA, 435 nt
Filed under: uncultured bacterium
Lineage: Bacteria
Description: bacterial SSU rRNA
Rfam family: Bacterial small subunit ribosomal RNA
Source: RNAcentral
AACUAACGCUGGCGGCGUGCCUAACACAUGCAAGUCGAACGAGAAAGUUGGCUUCGGCCGAUGAGUAAAGUGGCGCACGGGUGAGUAACGCGUGGAUAAUCUGCCCUUUAGUUUGGAAUAACGUACCGAAAGGUGCGCUAAUACCGGAUAAUACUGAAUGACUACUGUUGUUUAGUCAAAGAAGGCUUCUGUUUACAUGCUUUUGCUGAAGGAUGAGUCCGCGUACCAUUAGUUAGUUGGUAGGUAAUGGCCUACCAAGGCGACGAUGGUUAGCUGGUCUGAGAGGAUGAUCAGCCACACUGGAACUGAGACACGGUCCAGACUCCUACGGGAGGCAGCAGUGAGGAAUAUUGCGCAAUGGGGGCAACCCUGACGCAGCAACGCCGCGUGAGUGAGGAAGGUUUUCGGACCGUAAAAGCUCUGUCGAGCGGGAAG